Molecule: unclassified non-coding RNA, 335 nt
Filed under: soil metagenome
Description: partial contains 5.8S ribosomal RNA, internal transcribed spacer 2, and large subunit ribosomal RNA
Rfam family: 5.8S ribosomal RNA (bases 1-120)
Source: RNAcentral
GAUGAAGAACGUAGCGAAAGGCGAUAAGUAAUGUGAAUUGCAGAAUUCAGUGAAUCAUCGAAUCUUUGAACGCACAUUGCGCCCGCCAGUAUUCUGGCGGGCAUGCCUGUUCGAGCGUCAUUUCAACCAUCAAGCCCCCGGCUUGUGUUGGGGACCUGCGGCUGCCGCAGGCCCUGAAAACCAGUGGCGGGCUCGCUAGUCACUCCGAGCGUAGUAAUACAUCUCGCUCAGGGCGUGCUGCGGGUUCCGGCCGUUAAAAAGCCUUAUUUACCCAAGGUUGACCUCGGAUCAGGUAGGAAGACCCGCUGAACUUAAGCAUAUCAAUAAGCGGAGGA